Myotis daubentonii (Daubenton's bat) is the source of this 2132-nucleotide long non-coding RNA. RefSeq lists it as uncharacterized. The record is from RefSeq and is a predicted model, not a curated record. The transcript is spliced from 2 exons. NCBI's taxonomy places the organism in Eukaryota, Metazoa, Chordata, Mammalia, Chiroptera, Vespertilionidae.
GGCCCGCGCUCCGCCGCCGCGCGGUGGGGGAGGGGCGGGGCGGGCCGCGCGAGACCGGGAAACAUGGCUGCUCAUCCUAUUCCAGCGGCGCGGCGCGGCCACCAGCCCCCGGAUCGGAGUUGGGAGAGGCUCGCCAGAGGCUCCCGCGCCGGCGGAAUUCAAUCAAUAAACCCCGAACCCACGGCCGCGCGUUUUAGGACUUUGAAGGCUCAACCAGCUCCGCUCGGUUCUCGAGCCCCCAGCACCCGCGUCGCACACAAACCUGAUCGCUGUGGAGGCGGGAUCUGCGGUCGCGCGAAUGAGCGGCAGGAGCUGCAGCCAAUCGCCGCCGAGGAUCUCUGGGCAACAGCCAGUGGCGGCAGCAGCGGCGGGGGAAGGGACCAAUGGGCGGGCUGCGCAGCCGGCCAGGGAGGCUCAGCCAUUUGGUUGUGGUGCCGGAGACGGACCCCUUUAGAUUUCUGGGCGGCUGAGGAGCGCGGCCGCUGCUCCGUGGCUGAGCGAGCGGGGUGGGAGGAAUGGCGGGGGAAGGGAAGGUGACUACCUCGAGAGCCGAGCCGCCCGGCCUCGCCAGCCCGCCGCCGCCUCAGCGUUUGGCCGGGGGCGGGGCCGCAGGUGCGUUAUUCCAGGGGGAGGGGCGCGGCCGGAGGGGUCGGGUAGGGGUCCUCGCGGGGCCCGGGCCUCGCAGGGCCGCCCUAGGCCUGCGCGCGCCACCCCAGGGGGUUGCGGAAGGAGGCGGUUGGCGCGAGGUUUGGGAGUCGCGGGCUGCUGGGCAGGCGGGAGGAUAAAAGGCCUGGGAAGAGGGGGAGGGAUCAAGGGUGCAGUGAGGGGUGUGUGGGAGGGGGGCGGCUGGUCAUUUUUUGGGUCCGGCGGGCGGAGCUGGUGGAACUUGGCUGCUGCCCCCCUUCUCCGAGGGCUCCCAUCCCCGGCUCACCGCCCGCGCGCCCCUUCUCCACUCUCGUCCUAGUCCAGCCGCGGCCAUCGCCGCCCCUCGAAUAAAUAAGUAAAUAAAACCAAGUCCGUCCACCUUUGGAUGACGAACCUCGUGGUCUCGACCCUUUCCACGGAGGGGCCUUUCAAAUCGCUGUCAUGUCAGGUCAGCUUGGGAGGAGUGGUCACCAAAAAGGCACCCAGGAUCUUGUUUAGUCAAUGAAUGGAGACCGUGGCUUAAGAAUUGUGUAUGUAUGGGAUAUUAAGAAGUGGGGAAGGAAGGUGCUAAUAACUUCUGCUUUUCGGGACCAAACCUAAUUUAUGGGCUUUAUAGACCCAAUGAAAGAAAACGGCGCACCGUUUGGUCUAAUCGUCCAGCGGAGUCAUAUGGUUCACCCCGGCUGCCGAAGAGGCUCUGUUGGGAGCACUUCAUCAGGCCUCUGCGCUUGCUUGCUUUCCGUUUUCCGAAUCACAACCGUUGUAAGAGACCUGAAAGCCUUAAUGCCCGCUGGGCUCCCAACUUCUGUGUGCAGGCCUACGGUCUUGGCUGCCUGUGGUGGUUAAUAAAUCGUGGGGUUGCUACCAACAAGGAAAGAUACACCUUGAUCCUUCCAUACAACUGUUUUUAAGUGCUUUCAUUUCUACACGCCUAGACUCUCACCAUACACUGUAAGGUCGUUUUUUUCUGUUUGGAUACAUGUGUUUCUUUUUCAGGGACGUGGGUUCAAGGGACAGAUAAGUCAGUAUGUAUGUUGCAAAUGUGAAAUGUCCUUACAUAACACCAAUGCAGUUUCAUUCUUGGGCAUAUAAAGUUUAGAGGAGGAAAUAAAAAGUGACAGAAGGUAAAUAAAACACAUACAGAAUGCCUGCACUGGGGAAGAAACUUGUAGUCACUAAUAUUGCAACCUGAUGGGUUACAAAAGCAAAGUCCUGCAGCUAAGCAUUUUGCUCAGUAAAUUCUUUCAGAUAAGAUAAUGAAAUUUGAAAAGUGAUCAUGUUCUUUGAGUAGCUUGGAAAUGAGGAAUACAAAAUUGAAUGUCAUUGUGUUAUAUGGGAAUAAACAGUAUAGAAUUUAUUUGACUUGACUUAGCUGACAUGUCUUCCUCAGUGUUGUUAAUCUUAUUGAAGUCAAUUUGUGUAUUUUGAAUUUAUUCUUUUUAAAAUUGUACUAGCUCCGUUAUAAAAUGUUCUGGGACCCCAAAUUA